GCAAUGAUGAUCAUUAGAGUUUUGAUCAGCAAUGAAAAAAACUACUAAUUCCUCUAAGAAGUUCUGAGCUC
This is a small nucleolar RNA of Cyprinodon tularosa, 71 nucleotides long. RefSeq annotates it as small nucleolar RNA SNORD61. NCBI's taxonomy places the organism in Eukaryota, Metazoa, Chordata, Actinopteri, Cyprinodontiformes, Cyprinodontidae. The record is from RefSeq and is a predicted model, not a curated record. The transcript has a single exon.